Molecule: ribosomal RNA, 473 nt
Filed under: Boophis madagascariensis (Madagascar bright-eyed frog)
Lineage: Eukaryota; Metazoa; Chordata; Amphibia; Anura; Mantellidae
Description: partial 16S ribosomal RNA
Rfam family: Bacterial large subunit ribosomal RNA
Source: RNAcentral
CAUAAUCACUUGUUCUUUAAAUGAGGACUCGUAUCAACGGCAUCACGAGGAUCCUACUGUCUCCCCCCUCUAAUCGGUGAAACUGAUCUCUCCGUGAAGAAGCGGAGAUGUACAUAUAAGACGAGAAGACCCCAUGGAGCUUUAAACCCAACAACACCCGCCCCCCCUCCAAAUCCUAUUAUUUACCCGGUGAUUGUUUGUUUGGUUUUAGGUUGGGGUGACCGCGGAGUAUAAGAUAUCCUCCAUGAAAAAAAGCUAACUGCCCUUAUUAGAGAAAGACACUUCCAAAAAAUAAUAAAUUAAUUUUAAAUGAUCCGACAUUCGAUCAACGAACCAAGUUACCCUGGGGAUAACAGCGCAAUCCGUCCCGAGAGCCCCUAUCGACAGGCGGGUUUACGACCUCGAUGUUGGAUCAGGGUAUCCUAGUGGUGCAGCAGCUACUAAAGGUUCGUUUGUUCAACGAUUAAAACCCU